CUUCCGCGGUAUGAUUGUUGUUGCAAGUCGCCCGUGUAACCCGCUUCGGUGGGGGAUUAGUGGCGAACGGGUGAGUAACACGUGGGCAAUCUGCCCUGCACUCUGGGACAAGCCCUGGAAACGGGGUCUAAUACCGGAUGAUACCUGCCUCGGCAUCGAGGCGGGUUGAAAGCUCCGGCGGUGCAGGAUGAGCCCGCGGCCUAUCAGCUUGUUGGUGGGGUGAUGGCCUACCAAGGCGACGACGGGUAGCCGGCCUGAGAGGGCGACCGGCCACACUGGGACUGAGACACGGCCCAGACUCCUACGGGAGGCAGCAGUGGGGAAUAUUGCACAAUGGGCGAAAGCCUGAUGCAGCGACGCCGCGUGAGGGAUGACGGCCUUCGGGUUGUAAACCUCUUUCAGCAGGGAAGAAGCGAAAGUGACGGUACCUGCAGAAGAAGCGCCG
Molecule: ribosomal RNA, 445 nt
Filed under: Streptomyces sp. 108-4.2-LH-A-26
Lineage: Bacteria; Bacillati; Actinomycetota; Actinomycetes; Kitasatosporales; Streptomycetaceae
Description: bacterial SSU rRNA
Rfam family: Bacterial small subunit ribosomal RNA
Source: RNAcentral